This 120-nucleotide transfer RNA is filed under the name Mycosarcoma maydis (corn smut). RNAcentral describes it as "tRNA-Phe for anticodon GAA". The record is from RNAcentral. Lineage: Eukaryota; Fungi; Basidiomycota; Ustilaginomycetes; Ustilaginales.
GCUUCUGUAGCUCAGUUGGUACGAGCGUCCGACUGAAGAAUUCAGUUUCAAUAAGUCGCCACUGUCUGCAGUGGAUGUUUGAUUAUCGGGAGGUCAUCUGUUCGAUCCAGGUCAGAAGCA